AACGUACGCUGGCGGCACGCCUAACACAUGCAAGUCGAACGAAGUAGCAAUACUUAGUGGCAGACGGGUGAGUAACAUGUAGGUAUCUGCCCUUUGGCCUGGAAUAACACGAGGAAACUUGUGCUAAUACCGGAUAAGUCUUUACGGAGAAAGCUUUAUGCACCAUUGGAUGAGCCUGCACUUGAUUAGUUUGUUGGUGGGGUAAUGGCCUACCAAGACUGUGAUCAAUAGCUGAUUUGAGAGGAUGAUCAGCCACAUUGGGACUGAGACACGGCCCAAACUCCUACGGGAGGCAGCAGUGGGGAAUCUUGCACAAUGGAGGAAACUCUGAUGCAGCGAUGCCGCGUGAGUGAAGAAGGCCUUUGGGUUGUAAAGCUCUUUCGUCGGGGAAGAAAAUGACUGUACCCGAAUAAGAAGGUCCGGCUAACUUCGUGCCAGCAGCCGCGGUAAUACGAAGGGACCUAGCGUAGUUCGGAAUUACUGGGCUUAAAGAGUUCGUAGGUGGUUGAAAAAGUUGGUGGUGAAAUCCCAGAGCUUAACUCUGGAACUGCCAUCAAAACUUUUCAGCUAGAGUAUGAUAGAGGAAAGUAGAAUUUCUAGUGUAGAGGUGAAAUUCGUAGAUAUUAGAAAGAAUACCGAUUGCGAAGGCAGCUUUCUGGAUCAUUACUGACACUGAGGAACGAAAGCAUGGGUAGCGAAGAGGAUUAGAUACCCUCGUAGUCCAUGCCGUAAACGAUGUGUGUUAGACGUUGGAAAUUUAUUUUCAGUGUCGCAGCGAAAGCGAUAAACACACCGCCUGGGGAGUACGACCGCAAGGUUA
This 820-nucleotide ribosomal RNA is filed under the name uncultured marine bacterium. RNAcentral's name for it is "bacterial SSU rRNA". It matches the Rfam family "Bacterial small subunit ribosomal RNA", at positions 28 to 896 of the family's 1533-position model. The record is from RNAcentral.